This 655-nucleotide long non-coding RNA is filed under the name Salmo salar (Atlantic salmon). Its description in RNAcentral is "lncRNA (ENSSSAG00000099437.1, ENSSSAG00000109542.1)". The record is from RNAcentral. Lineage: Eukaryota; Metazoa; Chordata; Actinopteri; Salmoniformes; Salmonidae.
CUGUGUGUGUGUGUGUGAGAACAAAACGACCGUGUGUGUGUGUGUGAGAACAAAACGACCGUGUGUGUGUGUGUGAGAACAAAACGACCGUGUGUGUGUGUGUGUGAGAACAAAACGACCGUGUGUGUGUGUGUGAGAACAAAACGACCGUGUGUGUGUGUGUGAGAACAAAACGACCGUGUGUGUGUGUGUGAGAACAAAACGACCGUGUGUGUGUGUGUGAGAACAAAACGACCGUGUGUGUGUGUGUGUGAGAACAAAACGACCGUGUGUGUGUGUGUGUGAGAACAAAAGGACCGUGUGUGUGUGUGUGUGAGAACAAAAGGACCGUGUGUGUGUGUGUGAGAACAAAAGGACCAUGUGUGUGUGUGUGUGAGAACAAAAGGACCGACCGUGUGUGUGUGUGUGAGAACAAAAGGACCGUGUGUGUGUGUGAGAACAAAAGGACCGUCUGUGUGUGUGAGAACAAAAGGAACGUGUGUGUGUGUGAGAACAAAACGACCGUGUGUGUGUGUGUGUGUGUGUGUGAGAACAAAACGACUGUGUGUGUGUGUGUGUGUGAACAAAACGACUGUGUGUGUGAACAGAACGACCGUGUCUGUGUGUGUGAACAGAACGACCGUGUGUGUGUGAACAAAACGACUGUGUGUGUGUG